This 492-nucleotide ribosomal RNA is filed under the name uncultured bacterium. Its description in RNAcentral is "partial 16S ribosomal RNA". It matches the Rfam family "Bacterial small subunit ribosomal RNA", at positions 29 to 507 of the family's 1533-position model. The record is from RNAcentral.
AGUGAACGCUGGCGGUAGGCCUAACACAUGCAAGUCGAACGGCAGCACAGUAAGAGCUUGCUCUUACGGGUGGCGAGUGGCGGACGGGUGAGGAAUACAUCGAAAUCUACUUUUUCGUGGGGGAUAACGUAGGGAAACUUACGCUAAUACCGCAUACGACCUACGGGUGAAAGCAGGGGAUCUUCGGACCUUGCGCGAUUGAAUGAGCCGAUGUCGGAUUAGCUAGUUGGCGGGGUAAAGGCCCACCAAGGCAACGAUCCGUAGCUGGUCUGAGAGGAUGAUCAGCCACACUGGAACUGAGACACGGUCCAGACUCCUACGGGAGGCAGCAGUGGGGAAUAUUGGACAAUGGGCGCAAGCCUGAUCCAGCCAUACCGCGUGGGUGAAGAAGGCCUUCGGGUUGUAAAGCCCUUUUGUUGGGAAGGAAAAGCAGCAGGUUAAUACCCCGCUGUUCUGACGGUACCCAAAGAAUAAGCACCGGCUAACUUCGUG